GAUCAUGGCUCAGGAUGAACGCUAGCUACAGGCUUAACACAUGCAAGUCGAGGGGCAGCACAGUGUAGCAAUACAUGGGUGGCGACCGGCGCACGGGUGCGUAACGCGUAUCCAACCUUCCCGUUACUCAGGGAUAGCCUUCCGAAAGGGAGAUUAAUACCUGAUGGUGUUUGAAUUCCGCAUGUUAUUCAAACUAAAGAUUUAUCGGUAACGGAUGGGGAUGCGUGACAUUAGGUAGAUGGCGGGGUAACGGCCCACCAUGCCUACGAUGUCUAGGGGUUCUGAGAGGAAGGUCCCCCACACUGGAACUGAGACACGGUCCAGACUCCUACGGGAGGCAGCAGUGAGGAAUAUUGGUCAAUGGUCGGAAGACUGAACCAGCCAAGUAGCGUGAGGGAUGACUGCCCUAUGGGUUGUAAACCUCUUUUAUAUGGGAAUAAAAAAGAUUACGUGUAGUCUAUUGUAUGUACCUUAUGAAUAAGCAUCGGCUAAUUCCGUG
Molecule: ribosomal RNA, 499 nt
Filed under: uncultured bacterium
Lineage: Bacteria
Description: bacterial SSU rRNA
Rfam family: Bacterial small subunit ribosomal RNA
Source: RNAcentral